GGUUUGAGUGUUAUCUGAACAGGACGUGAGCAAGCCGCACGACAAACAUCGCAUCAAACCGCUCAACUAGACAUUACAUUAUACUAUGUGACUUACUAAAUAUAACUCCAUAUUGCAUUCAGACAUAUUUAAAACCUAUCUGUCGGUUUGAGUGUUAGACAUAUCUAUUAGUCAAUUAACUUCAUCAAAUACGGAAUAAUAUAAUUAGAUAAUAUAAAGAACUAUCGCUAAUUUCCACACCGUUUAUAUUUUACCUGGAUUAAAUAUGAUGUCCCCUGCUUGUAUAACUAUUGGAGAGGGGACGUGGCGCUCUUACCGUCUGCCUAUCAAACCGUUGAUAAUGAUGAUGAUAACGAUGAUGAUGAUAGUGAUAUCUCGUUGCAGCACUAUUACACUGUCACCUGCUGGCGGCCUCACUUUUGAAGAAGGUGAAGAGAUAAGGAUUACAUGUGAAAAUAUGUAUACACAUACUUAUAAGUCUUUUUUCUUUACACUCUUGGAAAAUGGCAAUCCUGUUGUGUAUAUCUACUACCGUAGCCGGUGGGAUGAGCCUCUCGUCGUGAACAGCACAAGAGAUUUCGAAUGUCACACUUCUUCCAACUAUGUGUUUGUGUGCACAACAAAGAAACCCAUUUGCAGUAAUGCAACAUCAUACAGAUGUUCAUUAGACAGUGAUAUUUCCGAUGAAAAGAUUCUUAGAGUAAAGUCUCGUCAAGUGGAUGUGGUCUAUGCUGAGGACGCCCCUAAACCCGAGAUACACAAUACAUUUACUAUUGAGAACUUCGGCCCCACCACGAAAAACCCUGGAUAUUUAUGUCGAACAGCUACUGAAUUAGUUCCUGGAAGUAGAAUCACCUUUCGAUGGAGAGUUGUAUCACUCGUUAAGUCAUUUAAUGAAGCCAUAAAAAAAAGGUGUUACAUACGAAAUACGAGGUAGUGACUGUUCCUACUUCUGGCAAAUGUCAUGCUAAGAUAUCUUCAUUCUACAUGUGCCGUCAUUUACAAGAUGUCGACUUCUUUUCGUACAUUGAAUGUUCAGUACUUGGACAGACACGGACCAAUUCAAACUACAUGGGAAGAAACAUCCUUGCAGCACUGGUGCUUGUGUAGCAAACUCUAGAUGGGUUUUGGUCGUCAAGCUCAUUCUUCUGCCUCUGGUUGUUGCAAUUUCUCGCUAGCAUCAUCCCGUCUUACUUAAAAAUUAUAAUGAAUGUUUAUAAAGAUUCCUGUUUACGUUGACCAAAUCCGAGUCGAAUUGCGUAUUAAGUGAUGCUGACAACAUCCAAGGACCAUUUCCCGUUCCAGAUUAUACAAGAUCUAUAAUAAUUUUUACUACUAAUCUUAAUUGUAAUAUUAUGAGUCACCAAUUGUAGAAAUACUAACUGUAGUAACACAAACAACUGAUAAUAUUAAC
Molecule: long non-coding RNA, 1414 nt
Organism: Octopus sinensis (East Asian common octopus)
Lineage: Eukaryota; Metazoa; Mollusca; Cephalopoda; Octopoda; Octopodidae
Exons: 5
Source: RefSeq, a predicted model, not a curated record